UGGGGAAUAUUGCGCAAUGGGGGGAACCCUGACGCAGCCAUGCCGCGUGAAUGAAGAAGGCCUUAGGGUUGUAAAGUUCUUUCGGUAUUGAGGAAGGUUGAUGUGUUAAUAGCACAUCAAAUUGACGUUAAAUACAGAAGAAGCACCGGCUAACUCCGUGCCAGCAGCCGCGGUAAUACGGAGGGUGCGAGCGUUAAUCGGAAUAACUGGGCGUAAAGGGCACGCAGGCGGUUAUUUAAGUGGGGUGUGAAAGCCCCGGGCUUAACCUGGGAAUUGCAUUUCAGACUGGGUAACUAGAGUACUUUAGGGAGGGGUAGAAUUCCACGUGUAGCGGUGAAAUGCGUAGAGAUGUGGAGGAAUACCGAAGGCGAAGGCAGCCCCUUGGGAAUGUACUGACGCUCAUGUGCGAAAGCGUGGGGAGCAAACAGGAUUAGAUACCCUGGUAGUCCACGCUGUAAACGCUGUCGAUUUGGGGGUUGGGGUUUAACUCUGGCGCCCGUAGCUAACGUGAUAAAUCGACCGCCUGGGGAGUACGGCCGCAAGGUUA
Molecule: ribosomal RNA, 547 nt
Filed under: uncultured bacterium
Lineage: Bacteria
Description: bacterial SSU rRNA
Rfam family: Bacterial small subunit ribosomal RNA
Source: RNAcentral